GACGAACGCUGGCGGCGUGCUUAACACAUGCAAGUCGAACGGAAAGGCCCUGCUUUUGUGGGGUGCUCGAGUGGCGAACGGGUGAGUAACACGUGAGUAACCUGCCCUUGACUUUGGGAUAACUUCAGGAAACUGGGGCUAAUACCGGAUAGGAGCUCCUGCUGCAUGGUGGGGGUUGGAAAGUUUCGGCGGUUGGGGAUGGACUCGCGGCUUAUCAGCUUGUUGGUGGGGUAGUGGCUUACCAAGGCUUUGACGGGUAGCCGGCCUGAGAGGGUGACCGGCCACAUUGGGACUGAGAGACGGCCCAGACUCCUACGGGAGGCAGCAGUGGGGAGUAUUGCACAAUGGGCGGGAGCCUGAUGCAGCAACGCCGCGUGCGGGAUGACGGCCUUCGGGGUGUAAACCGCUUUCGCCUGUGACGAAGCGGGAGUGACGGUAAUGGGUAAAGAAGCACCGGCUAACUACGUG
RNAcentral lists this ribosomal RNA (468 nucleotides) under uncultured bacterium. RNAcentral's name for it is "partial 16S ribosomal RNA". It matches the Rfam family "Bacterial small subunit ribosomal RNA", at positions 28 to 507 of the family's 1533-position model. The record is from RNAcentral.